CCUACGGGAGGCAGCAGUGAGGAAUAUUGGUCAAUGGACGAGAGUCUGAACCAGCCAAGUAGCGUGAAGGAUGACUGCCCUAUGGGUUGUAAACUUCUUUUAUAUGGGAAUAAAAUGUUCCACGUGUGGGAUUUUGUAUGUACCAUAUGAAUAAGGAUCGGCUAACUCCGUGCCAGCAGCCGCGGUAAUACGGAGGAUCCGAGCGUUAUCCGGAUUUAUUGGGUUUAAAGGGAGCGUAGGUGGAUUGUUAAGUCAGUUGUGAAAGUUUGCGGCUCAACCGUAAAAUUGCAGUUGAAACUGGCAGUCUUGAGUACAGUAGAGGUGGGCGGAAUUCGUGGUGUAGCGGUGAAAUGCUUAGAUAUCACGAAGAACUCCGAUUGCGAAGGCAGUUCACUGGACUGCAAAUGACACUGAGGCUCGAAAGUGUGGGUAUCAAACAGGAUUAGAUACCCCUGUAGUC
RNAcentral lists this ribosomal RNA (460 nucleotides) under uncultured bacterium. RNAcentral describes it as "partial 16S ribosomal RNA". It matches the Rfam family "Bacterial small subunit ribosomal RNA", at positions 338 to 795 of the family's 1533-position model. The record is from RNAcentral.